UGGCGGCGCGGGGAUGGGGACGGCCGCGGUGUGCUCCCCGGUGGCCCUCAUGGCGCAGGUUCACUCGGCCCAGCUGCUGACGAAGUCGAAGCUUCGAGAAGGAAGGGGAGAACAGGCCGGGGCACGGAACCCUAGAUCUGGAGGAGGAGGCGCCGCUUCGUCGCCGCCGGAUACCGUCGCGGAAAAAAAAAACUUCUGGUACCGGAGGUCGAGCGGAGGCGAGGUCGCGAGGAGGGAGAGGGGAUAGAU
RNAcentral lists this long non-coding RNA (249 nucleotides) under Oryza brachyantha (malo sina). RNAcentral describes it as "long non-coding RNA (OBRA_LNC000628)". Lineage: Eukaryota; Viridiplantae; Streptophyta; Magnoliopsida; Poales; Poaceae. The record is from RNAcentral.